Molecule: non-coding RNA, 100 nt
Filed under: Enterococcus rivorum
Lineage: Bacteria; Bacillati; Bacillota; Bacilli; Lactobacillales; Enterococcaceae
Description: TPP sequence
Rfam family: TPP riboswitch aptamer (THI element)
About the family: Vitamin B(1) in its active form thiamin pyrophosphate (TPP) is an essential coenzyme that is synthesised by coupling of pyrimidine and thiazole moieties in bacteria. The previously detected thiamin-regulatory element, thi box was extended, resulting in a new, highly conserved RNA secondary structure, the THI element, which is widely distributed in eubacteria and also occurs in some archaea.
Source: Rfam by way of RNAcentral
CCCAUCGCAAAGGGGAGCCAUGUUGCUGAGAAUGAGUAUAACUCUAAACCCUUGAACCUGAAUCGUUAAUACGAGCGUAGGAAUUGUGAUGGAGUAAGAU